GUGCAGCAGGCGAGAAAACUUUACAAUGUGCGAAAGCACGAUAAGGGAACUCUGAGUGCCUCCUAAGGAGGCUGUUCAGGUGUCUAAAAAGCACCUGGAGUAAGGGCUGGGUAAGACCGGUGCCAGCCGCCGCGGUAACACCGGCAGCCCAGGUGGUAGCCACUUUUAUUGGGUCUAAAAGCGUCCGUAGCCGGUUGAGUAAGUUCCUUGGGAAAUUUGGCUGCUCAACAGUCAAGCUUCCAGGGAAUACUGCUCGACUUGGGACUGGGAGAGGUCAGAGGUACUCCAGGGGUAGGGUGAAAUCCAUUAAUCCCUGGGGGACCACCGGUAGCGAAGGCGUCUGACCAGACCAGGUCCGACGGUGAGGGACGAAGGCUAGGGUCGCGAACCGGAUUAGAUACUCGCGUAGU
RNAcentral lists this ribosomal RNA (410 nucleotides) under uncultured microorganism. RNAcentral describes it as "bacterial SSU rRNA". It matches the Rfam family "Archaeal small subunit ribosomal RNA", at positions 330 to 745 of the family's 1478-position model. The record is from RNAcentral.